CCUUGACCCUUUCACAGGGAAACCCACCCCAGCAAUUCAAUCUUAAUGUAAAGAUAACCACAUUUUCUGUUUGUGGGUGUUUUUUGUUGUAAUCACUAACCCUCUUGUUUGAGAUUUGAUAAUGGAUCCUUUGCUUCCUAUAUAAUUUUUAUAUCUGAUGAUAGAGUGUCUAGUAAGUAUUUGAAUCCUCGUCACUAAGAGAAGUAUUACAUAAUGUUACUGAAAUCUGAUUCAGUGACAUUGUUGAAAAGUCUUUUGUAGUUGUCAAACCAUCUGGAACCCUUGAUCCACCAUGUAUAUCAUUGUUUUUGUGGAAAGUGCUUUUUAACUGCACUUGUCCUUGAACUUUGGAAUACAACAUAUAUAAAUUGGAGAAUAUGUAUUCACUUCAAUAAAGGUGGUAAAUUGCCUGUCUUCAGUUUUACUUAACUUUGGAUUUUGGUAGAUGAGGAAAGCAGAUGAGGGUUUCUUUAUACCAAGCUCCUUGUGUUGUUUCUAGGAUGUUAGUAUUAAUACCCAGCUGUACAUGAUUUCAUAAAAUUUGGUUCCUUUUUAUAACUCAAAUGCUGAUGUUUCUUUUCUUGGUAUUGAACAUAAUCCAAAGUAGAGAUGUUAUUACCCAAGUCAAGAAAGGAAGGGAGAAAAAGAAGAACUGACCCAAGUCAGUUUUCAAUCGCCUGAUUAUCUGGCUAUUUUGAUCUCUCUCUUAUUUAUAUUUUUAGCCAUUUUGCCUUCCUUUCCUCCAGAGGGUGCGGCCAGGAAAGGAUUCAGAGAAGCUUAAAAAUGGAAGAAGUUAAAACCCCUGCUAAAAUUUGAUGGAGGGAAGGCUACAAGUGGAGCAAGAAGAUUCUAUUACAGCUAAGAAUCAUCCGAGCAAACAGAGGAAAGGGGAGCAUCAAAAUUGUGCUGGAAGGAAAAUGGCUUUCAGGCUCUUGGAAGAGAGUUGCCCACUCUGAUCCUUUGGCUUUGAUCUCCAUGUCUCCAUUAGAACAAGUCCUUAUCAAGCAGAGACAAGAAGCAGGAGCAGCCUUGGCUAUGAUAUAGAAACAAGAGAGGAGGUAAUCCCUGAUGCAGUUAACCAGCUUCCUCUGGAGCUGCAGCUACUGCUGACCAGAGGAGACUCAGGCCCAGGACUUCCUGAAGGCAGCUGCUAUCGCCACUCAUCCAUAGAGAUCAUCACGUGGGCAGAGUGGAGACAAAGAAACACCAAGACCCCUGAAUCUUCUCAGACAGCAUCCUCUUCUCUGGGAGAAUGGUAGUUUCAUUCACAGAACAAAGAGAUCAGGGGGCAGGUGGUCUCUCAUUUAUGGCUGUGAAACCUUGAGGUCACUUUUGCCCCUUUCACACACGUUCCCUCUCCCUCACCGCCUAUCAUCUAAUGAGUUGCUAAGUCCCGCCAAGUUCACCUCACAGGGUCUCUCUAGCAUUUACCAAUCCUCUUCAUCCUCGCUGCCAUGGCAGAGCAUGAAAAUGGGAGAGGGGACACUGCCACUGUCAACCCCAGCUCUCUAACCAUGACCUUCUUCCUGUCUGUAUUAGUUUUCUAGGGUUCUUAUCACAAGUAUCACAAAUAAAUGCCUAAAAAAAACCAACAGAAAUUUAUUCUCUCACAGUUCUGGAGGCUAGAAGUCCAAAAUCAUAGUGUUAGCAGGGUGGGUUCCUUCUGUAGGCCUUAAAGAGAAUCUGUUUCAUGCCCCUCUCCAAGCUUCUGGUAGUUGCCAACAAUCCUUUGUAUUGCUUGGUUCUUAGACGCAGCACUCCAGUCUCUGUCCCUCUCUGUUUCUCCUCUCUGUGUUUAUCCCUGUCACUGUUUUCUUAUAAGGACUCCAGUCAUUGUAUUUAGGGCUCACCCUAAUGCAGUAUGACUUCAUUUUAACUAAUUACACCUGCAAAAAGCCUAUUUCCAAAUAAGGUUUCGGAUAGACAUGGACUUUUGGACGGCGCUGUUCGACUCAGUACACAGCUUUUUCAGCUCACAAUCUCACUCCCACACUUGCUCUUUCCCCUUUUGGGGUCCUCUAGUCUCACCGCCUCCCUUUUUUCAGUGUGUGAGUCCUCUGUUGACCACUGACAUUUCUAUCCAGUCUUGACCAUAACGUUGAUGACCUGAACCUUACCACCCUUUCCUCUGACAUUCCAUGGGAUACACAGGCUUCUGUCAUUUGCUAACGGAAGCUGCAUUCCUGUGAGGAUUGGAGCCAAAACAAAACCUUUGUCUCCAAUCGCAGCCGGGCCCUCCAUGCCAGUCAGCAGUUUUCAAUGACUCUUGCAAAGCUUCUCCUCUCUUUCUGAGCCCCACCUGACCAACCCUCCUUUAGUCUCAGGAGCUGACUCCCUACUUCAUGAAGAAAAUUGAGCCACAAAGCUUCAAGGACCUGAACAACCUGUUCCCCCUCCAUUUACCUACAUAUAUAACUAACCUCACCUCUUCUCCCUGUGUCACAGAGUGAGCUGACCCCUCUGCUCAGGCCGGUCCAGUCUCCUCACAGCCCCUCUGGGAGCAGAGCUUCAACCAUCUCAGCUCUGUCUCUCAACCUGCACCCAUGCUCAAGUCACUCCAGUGUUAAAACAUGCCCUCCUCUGAUCCUGUUUCCUUCUAGCUAAUGCCUCCGUCCUUCCCAGCCUUCCUCCCUCUCUCCCUCUUUCCCUGUCUUCCUCGUUCCCUCCCUUUCUCUUUC
Long non-coding RNA from Hipposideros armiger (great roundleaf bat), 2678 nucleotides. RefSeq lists it as uncharacterized. Lineage: Eukaryota; Metazoa; Chordata; Mammalia; Chiroptera; Hipposideridae. The transcript has 3 exons. The record is from RefSeq and is a predicted model, not a curated record.